CUCUGCCUUUUUUUUUUUUUUGGUGUUACCGAACUGCUUUUGCUGUCUUCUUCUCCUGGACUGUGGGGUCUGCUCACAGUUAAUUGAGGGCGCUCUGUGGGAUCCCAGAGGUUGCCAGCGAAGUGAAUGAGGAAUGGGAGAACCAAACAUGCAGGUUCCCUUUUGCUUUAGCAAACAGAUUGGCUGCCGUUGGUUCUGAUAAGAUUGUUUUUCCUUCCCGGCCUUUGAGUUCUUGAGGUGCCCGGGGAUUCAGUCCAUGUGUAGUGAAUUGUGAGUGAUUCCGGCCUAUCCCUGCCCCUGCUGCACCUGGAUACGCUGUGGCUUUGCUUCUUUUCCAGCUGCCCAACUUACUCUUGGGUAGUUUGAUGUCUCAGCCAUUAAGCCAAGACAUGAAUGGACAGUGAGGUGUUUGCUUCAUUCACAGGCCAGGGGGUGCCGCUCUCUCUCCCCACUAAGGACCCAUGGAGGUUGUGAUGAAACAGGCCAAGGCACACCUAGACAGAAGGCUCAUUGACAUUCACAACUGGUAAUUUCUGCUGCUACCAUUCAAAAAAUCAAGGGGUUUCUCCUCCAAAGACUACCCCACUACA
Molecule: long non-coding RNA, 590 nt
Filed under: Phascolarctos cinereus (koala)
Lineage: Eukaryota; Metazoa; Chordata; Mammalia; Diprotodontia; Phascolarctidae
Description: lncRNA (ENSPCIG00000032292.1)
Source: RNAcentral